Molecule: ribosomal RNA, 502 nt
Filed under: uncultured bacterium
Lineage: Bacteria
Description: bacterial SSU rRNA
Rfam family: Bacterial small subunit ribosomal RNA
Source: RNAcentral
CAGGAUGAACGCUAGCGACAGGCUUAACACAUGCAAGUCGAGGGGCAGCAUAAAGUAGCAAUACUUGGUGGCGACCGGCGCACGGGUGAGUAACGCGUAUGCAACCUACCUAUCAGGAGGGGAAGUAACCCGGCGAAAGUCGGACUAAUACCGCAUAAAACAGGGGCACCGCAUGGUGAUAUUUGUUAAAGAAAUUCGCUGAUAGAUGGGCAUGCGUUCCAUUAGGUAGUUGGUGAGGUAACGGCUCACCAAGCCGACGAUGGAUAGGGGAACUGAGAGGUUGGUCCCCCACACUGGUACUGAGACACGGACCAGACUCCUACGGGAGGCAGCAGUGAGGAAUAUUGGUCAAUGGGCGGGAGCCUGAACCAGCCAAGUCGCGUGAAAGGAAGAAGGAUCUAUGGUUCGUAAACUUCUUUUGCAGGGGAAUAAAGUGCAGGACGUGUCCUGUUUUGUAUGUACCCUGAGAAUAAGGAUCGGCUAACUCCGUGCCAGCAGCCGC